Molecule: long non-coding RNA, 1696 nt
Filed under: Numida meleagris (helmeted guineafowl)
Lineage: Eukaryota; Metazoa; Chordata; Aves; Galliformes; Numididae
Description: lncRNA (ENSNMEG00000000580.1)
Source: RNAcentral
AAGUGGUGUUGCAGUAAAAAAGCCAUCUGUACAAUUCUUUUUCUGUCAUUGAAGAAAACAGAGGUAAUGAUCAACAUUCAUUAUUUAGGUAGUUGCAGUGCAAACUGCAUUGCUCAGACAUUUAUGAAGAUAAAACUGUCCUUGUCCCAUACAAUAUGCAAAGAUCAGUCUUAACUGAAACUGAUGAAAAGUUCCUGGUGGAAAUUGGGCUAGGAUGCUUGAGCAGGAAAGGGCAGAACUGAUCUUUAAGUAUCACAAUGUACAGCAGCAAUUUAAAACUGUAAAUUAGACCUGUACUAACAUAGGCAGUCUUCUUUUUCUGUUUAUCUAUUGAUUCUUUCCCCCUAUUGAAGUGGUCAAACAAAACACUGUUCCCAAGCACUUGAAAUAAAAAACAAGGAAACAAAAGGCUAGAAUCACAAAAUUGCCAGCAGAGAUACUGCUACUUCUGCUAGCCGCUAAUCUGACAGACUGAGCACUGAUCUGGAAUUGCAGGAGGUGGUUUAAGAAUUCCCCUGAGCUCACAUGGAGUUAAACACACAAUAUAAGAUAUUGCCUUACACAAUGGGGCUUGAUACGAUAUUCUGUCUUUCUCUAGGGUCUUUAUCAUUGUCUUGAGACUGCUGAACACAUUGCUGUUACCUGCUCCAGUGACACUGAUGAGUCAGAGGAAUUCAGCUACUGUCCAGUGUUUAUGCCUUGAUUCAUCUUUGAUCAUUGGGAGAUAUUUGAGGGAUUGGUCCAGUGAGAUUGCCUGUCCUGGAUCUCCCUGCCUCUCUGGCCAUCUUCUCUUUCUCAUCAUCAGUGUCUCCAUUUGCAGCUUCUCUACAACCUGUCCUAAAUAAUUCAUAAUGAAGUCACUAUGAAACUUUCUAUUUCCUUCAGAAGAGUAAUAUGUAACUUUGGAUUUUGUAAUUUUUGAUUUAGGUGUGUAUUUAAAGUAAAUCAUUUAUUUUCUUCAAAUACAUCAUUUCAGAGUCAACAUUAAUUCCUUGGCAGAUGGAAGAGCUUUUAUUCUUUCAACAGAAAUUAGAUUAUGACACCAGAGAUCAGAUCCAGAGAGAACACCCAAAGGCACUCUCGAGAUCUGUCUUGUUGUCUUUGCUGACAGUAAACUUGGAAGCCCAACUCAUUGCCACAGCUGAAGAGUGCUUUCCAGAACACUCAGGACCCAUAUUUUAUGCCAUAGUUGUCAUUUUACUGCAACCUGUGGAAACAUAAAAUCCUACCAAGCGUUCCUGGUGAGGCCACCCAUGAGGAUAUUAUAUGUCAGGAGAAUUGAUGUGACAUUACAUAGGCAUGAUUUGAUUUUCUUCGGGUCCGUGGAAAGAAGUGAGGAUGAGUGUAACUGCUCUUGUGUAGAAUUUUCUAGCAGCUGUGCUAAAUCAAGCCACGGGAGCCAUGUUUUUGAAGCUCUGCACAAACCAUGGUCUUGAAAAGAAAUGGGAUAAGUGCCUUCAACAUAUCUGCUCUUGCAUUUCCAUGUCCAGAAUGCAAAUGCUUGCUGGGAACACACUUUGUAUUUCUGAUGGAAUGCGUUGGCGUGUGAGAUUUUCAAGCAGUCAGAAACAUGUCAGUAGCACAGAACUUCAAAAGUACUUCACAAAAUAGAAUGGCUACAUGCUUCCACUGUAGAAAAAUAUUUUGAAACAAAUUUAAGGCAAUAAACUUAAGGAAAAAAAGUUGAAUAGUUACA